This 1413-nucleotide long non-coding RNA is filed under the name Musa acuminata (dwarf banana). RNAcentral's name for it is "long non-coding RNA (MACU_LNC000175)". The record is from RNAcentral. Lineage: Eukaryota; Viridiplantae; Streptophyta; Magnoliopsida; Zingiberales; Musaceae.
CUCUUCCUUCCACGUCUCCGGUGGAAACGAUAAUAUCCUCCUCCUCCGUAAGGCGGCGAUUGCGUCAGGGCGGAGGACGGCGUCCGGUGCGAGGACCCCGGUCCUGGUCUCCCCCAAAGCCGUUUCCGACUCGCGGAGCUCGCAGACUUGCCUCGAUCCUGAUGCAAGCCGGGUGAGUUUGCGUGGGACGCACAUUUGCCUCACAUGCCCACAAGGUUUCUUUAGAAAGAUUUUGUCAUCGGAAGCGAUCUUGGAAUGGUUCUCGGUGAAUUGCUUGAUGUGGUUGAUUGCUUGAUGUGGUUGAUUGCUUGUUUCUGUGGCAAAAUUAAGCUACCAAAAAAAUUUUUUUUUUUUCUUCUCUUCUCUUUGUCCGCCGCUAGGUUCGUAGAAGAGUUGUCGGGUCUACAUACUUGGGUUACAUCAAGGUCGAUGAUUGUUCUCGAAUGUUGUUAUCAACCAUUUCGUAGAUCCACAUUAUAUCCUUUCUUGUCUUUUAAGACGACCCUUUUUUAGCUUUUUUUUUUCUCUUUCUUCCCAAAUAUUGACUGGAUCGAGCUUUUAGAUUUUUAAUCGAGUUAGAAAAUAAAAAGGAGAAACGAUCGGUGAUUUGGUGAAGAUUUGUUCAUCAUUUAGAAACGAAAAGGACGCAAUUACCUGAAGUACAUGUUCAUAAGAAAUUUAUCAGGUUUCUGCCUAGGAAAGCAAAUCGGCCAAGGCACGAAUCGAUUCCAUCGGUUAAAAGUUCUACAACUUAUGGAAACCCAAUUUAUGAUUCUCUCAGAUCUUAUGUACCUUCUUCAAGAUAUGCAGGAGAUAUUGACUACUAGCAUAAGACGAUUGGAGGGUUGCCUAUUUUCUACAAGUUGCUAAUCGAACACAUUGCAAAUAGGAUCGAUCAUAUAUUUCACAAGCCAAAAGCGAAUUCUAUGUUUCAGAAGAAACUUACCUGCGAUAGUGUAUUUGACUAUUAUUUAUGUUGGUUUUCUUGAAAUAUUUGGAAGUACAUGCAGAUUAUUCUCAUCUUUAAAAAUGUAGCUUCAAACUUAGCCUGGAGCACAGGUGGUUGAUGGUUUUAUUUAUAUGAUUCAACAUGAUCACCUCAUGCACAUCUUUGUGGAUGGUUAUUUUCUAGAAUUUGUUUGUUUUUUUGUGUGUUUUCUUAAUUGUCAUGUGAAUAUUUAAGAUAAUUAAGUUUUGAAAUGGUGAAUUUUUGUUUUCUCUCCGCAGAGUGUUUUGGGUAUUAUACUUGGGGGAGGAGCCGGGACGAGGUUGUAUCCUUUAACAAAGAAGAGGGCUAAACCUGCAGUACCACUUGGAGCCAACUACAGGCUAAUCGACAUUCCUGUCAGCAAUUGCUUGAACAGUAAUAUUUUAAAGAUCUACGUUCUGACACAAUUCAAUUCUGCGUCUCUG